This 305-nucleotide ribosomal RNA is filed under the name uncultured bacterium. RNAcentral's name for it is "bacterial SSU rRNA". It matches the Rfam family "Bacterial small subunit ribosomal RNA", at positions 338 to 660 of the family's 1533-position model. The record is from RNAcentral.
CCUACGGGAGGCAGCAGUGGGGGAUAUUGCACAAUGGGGGAAACCCUGAUGCAGCGAUGCCGCGUGGGUGAAGAAGCGCCUCGGCGCGUAAAGCCCUGUCAGCAGGGAAGAAAAUGACGGUACCUGAAGAAGAAGCCCCGGCUAACUACGUGCCAGCAGCCGCGGUAAUACGUAGGGGGCAAGCGUUAUCCGGAUUUACUGGGUGUAAAGGGGACGCAGACGGCGAUGCAAGCCAGGAGUGAAAGCCCGGGGCCCAACCCCGGGACUGCUCUUGGAACUGCGUGGCUAGAGUGCAGGCGGGGCCG